CUGGCCUUAAUUUCGAUAUAAAGUCUGAUCUUUCUGAUAGAGGAUCGAUAUCAAUUGGUAGUUCUAGAAAUCAGACUGAUGUGGUGCAUCAUCUGCCGCAGAUUAAGGACAGCAUCAAGAAGUUAUAUUUUUCUGUUAAAGAUAUUAUAGGAUUUUGUUGUCACAAGAGAUUAUUGACUAAACUUUUUUGUGAUGGUUUGGAAGUAAAUGAUAUAAUUUAGUCUAUCAAACAGUUGAUAAAAUUUUAUUCUUUAUGUACAGUUGGAAGUUGAUAUUUUUUCUAAAUCAAAUUUCUUGCGUUUAAUUUUCUGAGACGGUUUGCUUCUGGAUCUUAUAGACGGUUGAUUCAGUUAUAGGUAAAAAAUUUUAUUGC
Molecule: long non-coding RNA, 373 nt
Filed under: Elaeis guineensis (African oil palm)
Lineage: Eukaryota; Viridiplantae; Streptophyta; Magnoliopsida; Arecales; Arecaceae
Description: long non-coding RNA (EGUI_LNC029872)
Source: RNAcentral